GCGGGUAUAGUAUAGCGGUUAUUAUGCGAGUUUUCCAAACUUGAGAUGGGGGUUCGACUCCCCCUACCCGCUCCA
Molecule: transfer RNA, 75 nt
Filed under: bacterium ADurb.Bin212
Lineage: Bacteria
Description: tRNA-Gly
Rfam family: tRNA
About the family: Transfer RNA (tRNA) molecules are approximately 80 nucleotides in length. Their secondary structure includes four short double-helical elements and three loops (D, anti-codon, and T loops). Further hydrogen bonds mediate the characteristic L-shaped molecular structure. tRNAs have two regions of fundamental functional importance: the anti-codon, which is responsible for specific mRNA codon recognition, and the 3' end, to which the tRNAs corresponding amino acid is attached (by aminoacyl-tRNA synthetases). tRNAs cope with the degeneracy of the genetic code in two manners: having more than one tRNA (with a specific anti-codon) for a particular amino acid; and 'wobble' base-pairing, i.e. permitting non-standard base-pairing at the 3rd anti-codon position.
Source: RNAcentral